UACGUAGGGUGCAAGCGUUAAUCGGAAUUACUGGGCGUAAAGCGUGCGCAGGCGGUUCGCUAAGACAGAUGUUAAAUCCCCGGGCUUAACCUGGGAACUGCAUUUGUGACUGGCGGGCUAGAGUAUGGCAGAGGGGGGUAGAAUUCCACGUGUAGCAGUGAAAUGCGUAGAGAUGUGGAGGAAUACCGAUGGCGAAGGCAGCCCCCUGGGCCAAUACUGACGCUCAUGCACGAAAGCGUGGGGAGCAAACAGG
RNAcentral lists this ribosomal RNA (253 nucleotides) under uncultured bacterium. RNAcentral's name for it is "partial 16S ribosomal RNA". It matches the Rfam family "Bacterial small subunit ribosomal RNA", at positions 524 to 776 of the family's 1533-position model. The record is from RNAcentral.